Molecule: long non-coding RNA, 1103 nt
Filed under: Mus spicilegus (steppe mouse)
Lineage: Eukaryota; Metazoa; Chordata; Mammalia; Rodentia; Muridae
Description: lncRNA (ENSMSIG00000013960.1)
Source: RNAcentral
CUGGACCCACCCACCCAUCGGAAGGCUGGGAGGAACCGGAGGAUACCUACCUAAGAGUCUGGAUGAGUCCUCCUGCCUCCCAUUGCCCCAUAGGUACAAGAAGUUGUCAGCACAGGACUCAACAAUGCUAAGAAGACCGUAGCAAACACAAUACACACCAAGAAAGUCAUCUCUGUGGGAAGAUUUGGAGCAUCCAGAGGGCUUUCAUAGAGGAGGGUGGGCCACUAGGGUCCGGGACACCCAGAGGACCCAGUCUUCCUAGAACAAAGGAACCAAAGCUUUCUGUGUAUGAAGGGAAUUGCAGCACAGCAGGUGUUGGUUGCCUCCGGCAGAUGAGGUGUGAAGGCUUGGGUGACCAGAGAAGGCAGGUGAGCAGGAGCGAGGAGUUUCUGGAGCAGUCCGGCUGGUAAGGACGGAGUAAGGAAAGAGGUUCCCUGACAGACCCGAGUCCCUUCUCACUCCCUCCACGCUCUCAGCCCUAGAGUCACCUCUAUCAUAAAAAUGGCCUCUGCACUGGUGUGUGCAACAGUGCUAUGAACGCUUUGGAGUAACCAGGUAACCAAUCAGAAAGUGAUCUGGGGUCUGCCCCAGAGGAGGAGGGAUUCAUGUCUGGUACUAUAAGCUUGGUCAAAGGCUCUGGUGGUCACCGGCUUGGUGGGAGCCUUGUACUGUUGCUUUGUUGAGUGCUUUGUCAAACAGCCUUCUAAAUAUUUGUUUAUACCCAGUGUACUGGCUGGUUUUGUGUGUCAACUUGACACAAGCUGGAGUUAUCACAGAGAAAAGAACCUCCCUUGAGAAAAUGCCUCCAUGAGAUCCAGUUGUAAGGCAUUUUUUCAAUUAGUGAUCAAGGGGGGAAAGGCCCAGCCCAUUGUGGGUGGUACCAUCCCUGGGCUGGUAGUCCUGGGUUCCUGGUACAAGAAAGCAAGCUGAGCAAGCUAGGGGAAGCAAGCCAGUAAGCAGCAUCCCUCUGUGGCCUCUGCAUCAGCUCCUGCCUCCAAGCUCCUACCACGUGUGAGUUCCUGUCCUGACUUCUUUGGUGAUGAACAUCGAUGUGGAAGUGUAAGCUGAAUAAACCCUUUCCUCCUCAACUUGCUUCUUGGUCA